Pezoporus occidentalis (night parrot) is the source of this 346-nucleotide long non-coding RNA. RefSeq lists it as uncharacterized. Lineage: Eukaryota; Metazoa; Chordata; Aves; Psittaciformes; Psittacidae. The record is from RefSeq and is a predicted model, not a curated record. The transcript is spliced from 3 exons.
CCAAGCAUACAAAGAACAGAUCCAGCCCAGCCUAAGUACAGAGCAUCUCCUAGUUCAUACCUGAAACAUGAGAGAUUUUAUGGAAACAACAUGUAAUAGGAUCACAAAGCCAUUAUUUUAGACUGAGCCAUAAAUUACAGUCAUGAGUGAUCCAUUGCAACUCUACUGCCAGCUUCUUUCAGGAACGAUACGUCUGUGGUGCCCAGCAAUACAAAUGGAAAACAAAAUAAAUGUGGAUACUCACGUUUAUGGUAUGUUUCUAACGCAUUUCAUCUACCUUCCUGCUAGACAGUGGUGUCAGCACUUUGUGAAGACGAGUUUGAUCAAACAAGUGAGGGGUUUGUAC